Molecule: long non-coding RNA, 940 nt
Organism: Nicotiana tabacum (common tobacco)
Lineage: Eukaryota; Viridiplantae; Streptophyta; Magnoliopsida; Solanales; Solanaceae
Source: RefSeq, a predicted model, not a curated record
UACCAUUCCAAAAAUUGGAGGAGUUCGUGUGUAUUUUUGUCCAUAGAGAGGAUGACCCUGGCUGAAUCGAAGAAUAGCCUUUCGAUUAACUAUUUUAUUUUGAAGACGGGGUUUUUUAGCUGCUCACAAAUGCAGGACUUUUAAGUGGCGAUUAAUUCGUCUAAAUCUGGUCUUUAAACCAUUCGGAGAAUGGGAAAAUGGCAGUGGGUUUGGAGGUUUCCUUGAGAAGAUUGGUUUCAGCAUUUGCAAAUCAAGCACUGGACUUUCUGGAGAGUUACUACCUAUCUAGGAGGGUUGACAAACGCCAUUCUUGCAUUUGAUUUCUUGGAUAUCGCUCUAUUGUUCUCAUUUUCCCUGAAACUUCUGCGUCAUAUGCUCCUGAAAUGGAAGCUGCAUCUCUUCGCCUGCCCUCGGUUCAUGGUGGAAUCCAUUGAAUACGUUGGUAAAGCACAAGAUUACGGCCGAAAAGCAGAGGUGCACUGGCAUUGUGUAUGAAGACUUGCUUUUUGGAACCAUGACAAUUUCUAAGGCUCAAAACUACAUAUUGCAGAGAUCAUGCAUCGGGAAGUGAAUAUACAUUCUCCAAAGGAUCCAAUCCUAAAUCAAUGCAGAAGUUGAUCAAGGUUUGCAUCUCUUGUUAUAUAAAUACAUGUAUUUGUGUAUCAUUUAUAGUCUUGUUUGAAGGAUACCUAUGCCUUGUAGUGAUCCUGCAGUCAUUAUACUCAGAUUAAGAUGUCUUGGGUAGGUUGAGGAAGGGCAAUUGUAUCUGAAGAUUAGGUUUCUACCAGGACAGAGUAGUUGUUGCUGUAGGAUUAUCUCGGCUUGUGAAUGUUCUCAUUUAAUGUUUGGUUAGAGGAACUCAAAUCAAGUUCUCUAGCUUCCAAUAAAUGUGUCUCUCGUACUAAAAACAUUUACAAAUUAUUACUCAUAAUUUUCAUUA